This 433-nucleotide ribosomal RNA is filed under the name uncultured bacterium. Its description in RNAcentral is "partial 16S ribosomal RNA". It matches the Rfam family "Bacterial small subunit ribosomal RNA", at positions 31 to 507 of the family's 1533-position model. The record is from RNAcentral.
GGGGGAGGCGGGGGGGGUGCCGGACACGGGCGAGGCGGGCGAGACCUUCGGGGCUAGUGGCGCACGGGUGCGUAACGCGUGGGAACCUGCCCUUAGGUUCGGAAUAACUCCCCGAAAGGGGUGCUAAUACCGGAUAAUGUCUUCGGACCAAAGAUUUCUCGCCUUGGGAUGGGCCCGCGUUGGAUUCGCUAGUUGGUAGGGUAAAAGCCUACCAAGGCGACGAUCCAUAGCUGGUCUGCGAGGAUGAUCAGCCACACUGGGACUGAGACACGGCCCAGACUCCUACGGGAGGCAGCAGUGGGGAAUAUUGGACAAUGGGCGAAAGCCUGAUCCAGCAAUGCCGCGUGAGUGAUGAAGGCCUUAGGGUUGUAAAGCUCUUUUACCCGGGAUGAUAAUGACAGUACCGGGAGAAUAAGCUCCGGCUAACUCCGUG